CAGGCCUAACACAUGCAAGUCGAGCGGUAGAGAGGUGCUUGCAUCUCUUGAGAGCGGCGGACGGGGUGAGUAAUGCCUAGGAAUCUGCCGUGGUGGUGGGGGAUAACGUUCGGAAACGGACGCUAAUACCGCAUACGUCCUACGGGAGAAAGCGGGGGAUCUUCGGACCUCGCGCCAUUAGAUGAGCCUAGGUCGGAUUAGCUAGUUGGUGAGGUAAUGGCUCACCAAGGCGACGAUCCGUAACUGGUCUGAGAGGAUGAUCAGUCACACUGGAACUGAGACACGGUCCAGACUCCUACGGGAGGCAGCAGUGGGGAAUAUUGGACAAUGGGCGAAAGCCUGAUCCAGCCAUGCCGCGUGUGUGAAGAAGGUCUUCGGAUUGUAAAGCACUUUAAGUUGGGAGGAAGGGUAGUAACCUAAUACGUUGCUACUUUGACGUUACCGACAGAAUAAGCACCGGCUAACUUCGUG
Molecule: ribosomal RNA, 471 nt
Filed under: uncultured bacterium
Lineage: Bacteria
Description: bacterial SSU rRNA
Rfam family: Bacterial small subunit ribosomal RNA
Source: RNAcentral